UACGAAGGGUGCAAGCGUUACUCGGAAUUACUGGGCGUAAAGCGUGCGUAGGCGGUUUGUUAAGUCCGUUGUGAAAGCCCCGGGCUCAACCUGGGAAUGGCAAUGGAAACUGGCGGGCUGGAGUAUGGCAGAGGGGGGUGGAAUUCCGCGUGUAGCAGUGAAAUGCGUAGAGAUGCGGAGGAACACCGAUGGCGAAGGCAGCCCCCUGGGCCAAUACUGACGCUCAGGCACGAAAGCGUGGGGAGCAAACAGG
RNAcentral lists this ribosomal RNA (253 nucleotides) under uncultured bacterium. RNAcentral's name for it is "partial 16S ribosomal RNA". It matches the Rfam family "Bacterial small subunit ribosomal RNA", at positions 524 to 776 of the family's 1533-position model. The record is from RNAcentral.